Non-coding RNA from Chelonoidis abingdonii (Abingdon island giant tortoise), 121 nucleotides. Lineage: Eukaryota; Metazoa; Chordata; Testudines; Testudinidae. The record is from RefSeq and is a predicted model, not a curated record.
GGGAGAGGCAGACAAGGAAGAGCUAUGCUGUAAGAAGCUUGGGCCAGGUAUGAAAAAAUCAUCAGUAUCAUACUUAGAAACUACUCAUCUAAAACCCCAGCUAUCUCUGCUCAGAACCCUC